CAGCUCUUCCUUUCACUUAUUUUACGUGAUUUUUUUUUACGUGUGAAACACGUGAAGUUGGAUUCGAGCGAACACGAGAAACUGUGUGAAUUAUACGUGGUAAAGGACAAAAAAUAACAAAAGAUUCAGAAAAAUACUCUGCGGUCAUGGAUAUCAAACAAUUGCAAACAAAACACAGGUUUAUCAAAAAAAAAAAAACUUUGUUAAAUAUAGGUGUGCAACAAUUAUUGGCACCCUUUUAGUCAACACUUUGUGCUAGCUCCCUUUGCCAAGAUAACAGCUUGUCCUAUAACGCCUGAGGAGGUUGGAGAAGACAUGGCGAGGGAUCUGAGAGCGUUCCUCCAUACAGAAGCUCUCCAGAUCCUUCACGUUUCCAGGUCCACGCUGACGGACUCUCCUCUUCAGUUCACUCCACAGGGUUUCUAUGGGGUUCGGGUCAGGGGACUGGGAUGGUCAGGGCAGGAGCUUGAUUUUGUGGUCAGUAAACCGUUUUUGUGUUGAUUUUGAUGAUGUUUUGGAUCAUCGUCCUGCUGGAAGAUCCGACCACGGCCCAUUUGAAGCUUGGCAUGAUUUGAAAAAACACAUGCUUCGACACUUCUGAAAAAUUGAAAAUGACAUGAAAAAUAAAGCCACAAGCUUUUAAAAUCACAAAGAACCUGAAGUAAUUAUUGACAUGCUGCAUGAAAAUCAUAAAAUGAAUGAAGCGUGUUAAAAAAGAACAAUCCUCACAUGAAAACGAGUCAAACGUGAAGUGUUUAAAAGUGUUUUCACGUUUAACUUGUGAUUAUUCACGUGAAGUUUGUGCAACUUUUCUUUUCUUUUCUUUUCUUUUCUUCAUUGUAUCCCUCUGUUCUUUCUAGAAUUGGGACUUGAAGACUUGAUUUCAUUGAAUGGACAUUUUACAGUGAGAUAGGAGGCCCUUCCUCUCGCUACAUGUAGGUCGCUGCUUCCUUUGUUCUUCUUCUCCGGGGCCUGGAGACUAUUUGACGUCGCCAUGCCAUUCUUUCAAGCCUCGCAUCGCCAUGGAAAUGCACAGGGCCAAACGGCGACGGUGCUGAAGAAGGACAGCGGAGAGCAAGAGAAAGGACUGGUCAAUGAAGUUAAUUGUUGAGAAGAAAAUGGACGCCAGCUCGCUUUUGUUCAGGCAAAAUGUGAGGGAAAGGACAGAUGAAAAAAGUGCAGUUGGUUCCUCCGGUCGGAGUGGCGAGGAAUGGAAAGUGAAAAGUAAAGAACUUAAGGG
Ictalurus punctatus (channel catfish) is the source of this 1240-nucleotide long non-coding RNA. The record is from Ensembl. Lineage: Eukaryota; Metazoa; Chordata; Actinopteri; Siluriformes; Ictaluridae.